GGGGCGGGCCAAUGGCUGUGACGGAUAAGGGGUGUGGGGUGCGGGGACAAUGGGCCAGAGCUUCUCAUGCAGCCUGCACCAGCGCCGGGUCGGAGAGUCAGAGGCCACCCUGAGAUGGACCGAGAUCUUCAGUUGGGGAGGCGCCUCCGGUGAGCUUGCGGCCAGAUGCCCCCUCAGUAGUCCUCCGCAACAGGUGCCGCGCAGCCGAGUGGCGGGCUAGCAUACCGCCUGCCCGCAAUUCGGCCAGGCCUCGAGCCUGCUCCGCCUUCCCGCUGCGGUAGCGCCGCCGGGGAAACGCCGCCACGGGCUGCAUGGGCAGCGCUCGCGCCCCGCCGCUGAGCCGCCGGGGAGCCGUCCAGUCUUCGAAUCCCAGUAAGAGACGCCGCUGGCCUAGGGACAGUGGUUGGGGCUGGCCCGGGGCAUUCGCGCGGCCUUGCAGCCUGCAGGCCUUCCCAGCCGACAGAGCUGCUG
This is a long non-coding RNA of Homo sapiens (human), 471 nucleotides long. Ensembl annotates it as testis expressed transcript, Y-linked 14. Its record names the gene TTTY14. NCBI's taxonomy places the organism in Eukaryota, Metazoa, Chordata, Mammalia, Primates, Hominidae. The record is from Ensembl.